This 255-nucleotide ribosomal RNA is filed under the name uncultured bacterium. Its description in RNAcentral is "partial 16S ribosomal RNA". It matches the Rfam family "Bacterial small subunit ribosomal RNA", at positions 524 to 777 of the family's 1533-position model. The record is from RNAcentral.
UACGGAGGGGGCUAGCGUUGUUCGGAUUCAUUGGGCGUAAAGGGUGUGUAGGUGGCGCGCUAAGUCGGGUGUGAAAUUUCGGAGCUUAACUCCGAAACUGCAUUCGAUACUGGCGUGCUUGAGGACUGGAGAGGAGACUGGAAUUCAUGGUGUAGCAGUGAAAUGCGUAGAGAUCAAUGAGGAAGACCAGUGGCGAAGGCGGGUCUCUGGACAGUUCCUGACACUGAGACACGAAGGCCAGGGGAGCAAAACGGG